This 2278-nucleotide ribosomal RNA is filed under the name Escherichia coli. RNAcentral's name for it is "partial 23S ribosomal RNA". It matches the Rfam family "Bacterial large subunit ribosomal RNA", at positions 1 to 2305 of the family's 2925-position model. The record is from RNAcentral. Lineage: Bacteria; Pseudomonadati; Pseudomonadota; Gammaproteobacteria; Enterobacterales; Enterobacteriaceae.
GUUAAGCGACUAAGCGUACACGGUGGAUGCCCUGGCAGUCAGAGGCGAUGAAGGACGUGCUAAUCUGCGAUAAGCGUCGGUGAGGUGAUAUGAACCGUUAUAACCGGCGAUUUCCGAAUGGGGAAACCCAGUGUGUUUCGACACACUAUCAUUAACUGAAUCCAUAGGUUAAUGAGGCGAACCGGGGGAACUGAAACAUCUAAGUACCCCGAGGAAAAGAAAUCAACCGAGAUUCCCCCAGUAGCGGCGAGCGAACGGGGAGGAGCCCAGAGCCUGAAUCAGUGUGUGUGUUAGUGGAAGCGUCUGGAAAGGCGCGCGAUACAGGGUGACAGCCCCGUACACAAAAAUGCACAUAUUGUGAGCUCGAUGAGUAGGGCGGGACACGUGGUAUCCUGUCUGAAUAUGGGGGGACCAUCCUCCAAGGCUAAAUACUCCUGACUGACCGAUAGUGAACCAGUACCGUGAGGGAAAGGCGAAAAGAACCCCGGCGAGGGGAGUGAAAAAGAACCUGAAACCGUGUACGUACAAGCAGUGGGAGCCUCUUUAUGGGGUGACUGCGUACCUUUUGUAUAAUGGGUCAGCGACUUAUAUUCUGUAGCAAGGUUAACCGAAUAGGGGAGCCGAAGGGAAACCGAGUCUUAACUGGGCGUUAAGUUGCAGGGUAUAGACCCGAAACCCGGUGAUCUAGCCAUGGGCAGGUUGAAGGUUGGGUAACACUAACUGGAGGACCGAACCGACUAAUGUUGAAAAAUUAGCGGAUGACUUGUGGCUGGGGGUGAAAGGCCAAUCAAACCGGGAGAUAGCUGGUUCUCCCCGAAAGCUAUUUAGGUAGCGCCUCGUGAAUUCAUCUCCGGGGGUAGAGCACUGUUUCGGCAAGGGGGUCAUCCCGACUUACCAACCCGAUGCAAACUGCGAAUACCGGAGAAUGUUAUCACGGGAGACACACGGCGGGUGCUAACGUCCGUCGUGAAGAGGGAAACAACCCAGACCGCCAGCUAAGGUCCCAAAGUCAUGGUUAAGUGGGAAACGAUGUGGGAAGGCCCAGACAGCCAGGAUGUUGGCUUAGAAGCAGCCAUCAUUUAAAGAAAGCGUAAUAGCUCACUGGUCGAGUCGGCCUGCGCGGAAGAUGUAACGGGGCUAAACCAUGCACCGAAGCUGCGGCAGCGACACUAUGUGUUGUUGGGUAGGGGAGCGUUCUGUAAGCCUGUGAAGGUGGCCUGUGAGGGUUGCUGGAGGUAUCAGAAGUGCGAAUGCUGACAUAAGUAACGAUAAAGCGGGUGAAAAGCCCGCUCGCCGGAAGACCAAGGGUUCCUGUCCAACGUUAAUCGGGGCAGGGUGAGUCGACCCCUAAGGCGAGGCCGAAAGGCGUAGUCGAUGGGAAACAGGUUAAUAUUCCUGUACUUGGUGUUACUGCGAAGGGGGGACGGAGAAGGCUAUGUUGGCCGGGCGACGGUUGUCCCGGUUUAAGCGUGUAGGCUGGUUUUCCAGGCAAAUCCGGAAAACCAAGGCUGAGGCGUGAUGACGAGGCACUACGGUGCUGAAGCGACAAAUGCCCUGCUUCCAGGAAAAGCCUCUAAGCAUCAGGUAACAUCAAAUCGUACCCCAAACCGACACAGGUGGUCAGGUAGAGAAUACCAAGGCGCUUGAGAGAACUCGGGUGAAGGAACUAGGCAAAAUGGUGCCGUAACUUCGGGAGAAGGCACGCUGAUAUGUAGGUGAAGCGACUUGCUCGUGGAGCUGAAAUCAGUCGAAGAUACCAGCUGGCUGCAACUGUUUAUUAAAAACACAGCACUGUGCAAACACGAAAGUGGACGUAUACGGUGUGACGCCUGCCCGGUGCCGGAAGGUUAAUUGAUGGGGUUAGCGGUAACGCGAAGCUCUUGAUCGAAGCCCCGGUAAACGGCGGCCGUAACUAUAACGGUCCUAAGGUAGCGAAAUUCCUUGUCGGGUAAGUUCCGACCUGCACGAAUGGCGUAAUGAUGGCCAGGCUGUCUCCACCCGAGACUCAGUGAAAUUGAACUCGCUGUGAAGAUGCAGUGUACCCGCGGCAAGACGGAAAGACCCCGUGAACCUUUACUAUAGCUUGACACUGAACAUUGAGCCUUGAUGUGUAGGAUAGGUGGGAGGCUUUGAAGUGUGGACGCCAGUCUGCAUGGAGCCGACCUUGAAAUACCACCCUUUAAUGUUUGAUGUUCUAACGUUGGCCCGUAAUCCGGGUUGCGGACAGUGUCUGGUGGGUAGUUUGACUGGGGCGGUCUCCUCCUAAAGAGUAACGGAG